GCGGGGGUGGGAGAGCGGUCAAUGAAUAGAGCAGUCGCGUUAAGCGCCUGUUUGUUUCGACUUUAUCCGCUACCUUGAGGGGGUAGUCCCUUAGUGGGUUCGCGUGUUCAAAUCACGUCCUCCGCA
RNAcentral lists this transfer RNA (126 nucleotides) under Candidatus Woesearchaeota archaeon. Its description in RNAcentral is "tRNA-Leu". The record is from RNAcentral. Lineage: Archaea; Nanobdellati; Candidatus Woesearchaeota.